CUUGUAUGUGGAUGAUAUGCUUGUAACGGGUAGUGAUGUUCAGCUGUUAAAAGAAUUUAAGUAGCAGAUGCAAUCUGAAUUUGAAAUGUCAGAUUUGGGAAUGAUGACUUAUUUUUUGGGCACUUUUAUUUCACAAAGAAAAUAUGCUUUAGACAUACUAAAAGAGACUGGCAAGUUAGACUGCAAACAUGUGGAUAUUCCCAUGGAUCCAAAUGUUAAACUUGU
This 225-nucleotide unclassified non-coding RNA is filed under the name Hevea brasiliensis (rubber tree). The record is from RNAcentral. Lineage: Eukaryota; Viridiplantae; Streptophyta; Magnoliopsida; Malpighiales; Euphorbiaceae.